RNAcentral lists this ribosomal RNA (440 nucleotides) under uncultured bacterium. RNAcentral describes it as "partial 16S ribosomal RNA". It matches the Rfam family "Bacterial small subunit ribosomal RNA", at positions 338 to 795 of the family's 1533-position model. The record is from RNAcentral.
CCUACGGGAGGCUGCAGUGGGGAAUAUUGCACAAUGGGGGAAACCCUGAUGCAGCGACGCCGCGUGAGUGCGGAAGUAUUUCGGUAUGUAAAGCUCUAUCAGCAGGGAAGAAAAUGACGGUACCUGACUAAGAAGCCCCGGCUAACUACGUGCCAGCAGCCGCGGUAAUACGUAGGGGGCAAGCGUUAUCCGGAUUCACUGGGUGGAAAGGGAGCGUAGACGGCGAUGCAAGUCUGAAGUGAAAGGCGGGGGCCCAACCCCCGGACUGCUUUGGAAACUGUAUGGCUGGAGUGCAGGAGAGGUAAGUGGAAUUCCUAGUGUAGCGGUGAAAUGCGUAGAUAUUAGGAGGAACACCAGUGGCGAAGGCGGCUUACUGGACUGUAACUGACGUUGAGGCUCGAAAGCGUGGGGAGCAAACAGGAUUAGAUACCCUUGUAGUC